UACGUAGGGUGCAAGCGUUAAUCGGAAUUACUGGGCGUAAAGCGUGCGCAGGCGGUUUUGUAAGUCUGUCGUGAAAGCCCCGGGCUCAACCUGGGAAUUGCGAUGGAGACUGCAAGGCUUGAAUCUGGCAGAGGGGGGUAGAAUUCCACGUGUAGCAGGUGAAAUGCGUAGAGAUGAUGGAGGAACACCGAUGGCGAAGGCAGCCCCCUGGGUCAAGAUUGACGCUCAUGCACGAAAGCGUGGGGAGCAAACAGG
RNAcentral lists this ribosomal RNA (255 nucleotides) under uncultured bacterium. RNAcentral describes it as "partial 16S ribosomal RNA". It matches the Rfam family "Bacterial small subunit ribosomal RNA", at positions 524 to 776 of the family's 1533-position model. The record is from RNAcentral.